CGGAGAAUAGUUUAAUAUAUGAAUACUAGCUUUGGGGGUUAGUGGUGGGGGUGUAAGUCCCUCUUUUCCGA
RNAcentral lists this transfer RNA (71 nucleotides) under Samariscus latus (deep-body righteye flounder). RNAcentral's name for it is "tRNA-Pro". It matches the Rfam family "tRNA". From Rfam's summary of the family: Transfer RNA (tRNA) molecules are approximately 80 nucleotides in length. Their secondary structure includes four short double-helical elements and three loops (D, anti-codon, and T loops). The record is from RNAcentral. Lineage: Eukaryota; Metazoa; Chordata; Actinopteri; Pleuronectiformes; Samaridae.